GUGCCAGCAGCCGCGGUAAAACGUAGGGGGCGAGCGUUAUCCGGAAUCACUGGGCGUAAAGGGCGUCUAGGCGGUUGCUUAAGUCUCGUGUGAAAGCUCCCGGCUCAACUGGGAGAGGGCAUGGGAAACUGGGCGACUUGAGACUCGGAGGGGGGUGUGGAAUUCCCGGUGGAGUGGUGAAAUGCGUUGAGAUCGGGAGGAACACCUGUGGCGAAAGCGGCACCCUGGUCGAGGUCUGACGCUGAAGCGCGAAAGCGUGGGGAGCGAACGGGAUUAGAUACCCUGGUAGUCC
This 292-nucleotide ribosomal RNA is filed under the name uncultured bacterium. RNAcentral's name for it is "partial 16S ribosomal RNA". It matches the Rfam family "Bacterial small subunit ribosomal RNA", at positions 505 to 796 of the family's 1533-position model. The record is from RNAcentral.